RNAcentral lists this transfer RNA (87 nucleotides) under Gammaproteobacteria bacterium. RNAcentral's name for it is "tRNA-Leu". It matches the Rfam family "tRNA". Rfam says of the family: Transfer RNA (tRNA) molecules are approximately 80 nucleotides in length. Their secondary structure includes four short double-helical elements and three loops (D, anti-codon, and T loops). RNAcentral also lists the same sequence under 1 other name. The record is from RNAcentral. Lineage: Bacteria; Pseudomonadati; Pseudomonadota; Gammaproteobacteria.
GCCGGGGUGGUGGAAUUGGUAGACACGCCAGACUCAAAAUCUGGUUCCCGCAAGGGAGUGCCGGUUCAAGUCCGGCCCUCGGUACCA